GACUGGGCGGCGGUCAUAUUUUGUACCGCUCUGCGGUACAUCUAGUUCUGUAUUCAUUCAGUCAGUGUAGUGACCUUGUGGGCCUUGCCUGCAGAGGGGACAUCCUGCACAUUUAAAAAUGUGAAGAUAAGGACAUUAGCAAGGUCCAAAGAGUCUGAUAUGCAGGGUUAGUAUUACUGUCACCACAUCCUGCUCUGGUUUUAGGUCACAACUUGCUUUUUCCUCUUCUCCCAAGAUUUCCCAACAUCCAAGCAGAAUGAUUCCAGCGGGUCGGCGGUGGAGGCAGAUUGGUGCCAAUUUCUGAAUGUGUGCACGUGUGCAAGUCUGUGUCACUGUGAAUGUGUGUGUGUGUGUGUGUGUAAUGGAUGUCUCUCUAACCCCCGAUAACGUCGGCAGGCGGGCUCAGCAGCAGUCACGGCUGUUUACGGUGAUGGUGACUCAGACAGGGUGGAUGUGUGGCCGCCACAGUCUCCCCGCCGCGGCAGCUCUGCUGGCGCUCCACAUUUCAUCAGUGGAAAUCAGGCCCCUGCUUGCGCACAGCCAAGGUGUCAUUGAGGAUUCGCCUGCUCUCUUAUCAAGAUUACUGGGCCACAUGUGGAACAACGUGGUAUUACAAGAGGGCCGGCCUGGCGCUAGCUGGUUUGCAUGUUAACUUCAGAUCUGGACAACACGAAACAGGCACCUUAGAGACCCCGGUAGGCUCUUCCCCUGAUGUUGCAAUGCAGAGGCCUGUGUGUAAACACAUGAUGAAUCAUAAAAUCAUCUUUUCUCACCGCUUUUGUGUAAACCGAAGUAAAGUCAGGUACUGUUACUCAUUUGUUCAUGUUUACUUAACAUAAUGUCACUAGUAAUAAGCAUUUGCUCAAUUAGAGUUCAUCAUUACUUACCACUUUUGUAUACCAUGAAGUAAAGUCACAUCCUGAUAGUCAUUUGUUAAUGCUUACAUAACAUAACUUCACUAAGCAAUUUGUUAAAUUGGAGUUCAUCAUUACUUACCACUGUUGUGUACCCUGAAGUAAAGUCAUGCCCUGGUACUCAUUUGUACGGUGGCCGGGAUGUGCAAAACAAAUUUACGUUUGCGGCUGCAAAUUUACAAUGUACAAUCACAAAAUGAUAAGUCAUAAAACAAAAUUACAAUCUAAAACAAAUGCACAACCCUGUGAACACUUUUACCAUGGGCUUAGGGACAAGUUACCAAUUUUUAUAUACCUUUAAUAACACUUUGUGGUACUAUUUUGCUUGAAUGAUAUGUUACAUUUAGACGUUUUCAAUAACUUUAUCCAAAGCAUGUUGUAUAUGUUGGGUCCACUUGUGCCAGUAAUGGCAAGAAAAUGUGAUUACACCAAGAUAAAGAUCAGAAUGACAGCAUGGAAAAGUAGUAAAUAAUCAAGUUAGCAGCAGUCUCAUUUACCCUGGGCUGCUCUUUAUCUAGCAUGCAGACACAAACCCAACCACACACAGAAAGAGAGAGAACACACACACACACACAAAAUGCUUUUACUUGGAUCCAUAUGAAGCAACAUACCAGACUUUGGGAAGAGUAAAUUGCAAGGCGACAGGUGUACAGUAAAUGGCCCAAAUACUUGUACCUAUACGAUAUCUAUGAGUUACCACUAUAUCAGGGGUAGCUAACCAGUCCAGCAUAAAGAGUCAAAAACAAUUCCACACCACUCAAAAGAAAAAUGCCCACACUACAACAGCAACAGUGAUUUAUAGGCCUACACCUAAUGAGACAUGGGGUUACAGUUUAAAUAGCGCUUCUCUUUUUUAUUUAAAGUGAGACUUGCAGAUUCUACAAAUAAUCUUUUUUAGAAAUGAGCAGCAAGCAACAAAAAUAUCUAAGACAUCACAAAUUCCCCCUCACUGAAUGACUUAUUAACAUGAGCGAAGCUCCAAUAUAACAACUGAUAUGACGCCAAUGUGACCAGUGUCAAAGAAAACGAGUCUGCUUCUCUGACUGAUGUUUAAAUAGCCUACUUUUACCUUGUACUUGCGAAGGUCAGUGUCUUUUGGAAAACUCUUGGGAAAUGUUCAGGUUUGAAAUCAGCUACGUUUGGCAUACCAAGUACCAAACUAACAUGUACAACGUUUUUUUUUUUUAAGGUGUUAUUUUGGGUACAGACACUUAAUGCUGCAAAACAACAAAUCCUCCCUUUGAAUGUCCUGUGUUCCUCGAUUUGUGCUUAGCUUCAGGCUAUGUUUUCCUGAUUGCAACAGUAGCAUUAA
Alosa alosa (allis shad) is the source of this 2226-nucleotide long non-coding RNA. RefSeq lists it as uncharacterized. The transcript is spliced from 3 exons. The record is from RefSeq and is a predicted model, not a curated record. Lineage: Eukaryota; Metazoa; Chordata; Actinopteri; Clupeiformes; Clupeidae.